This 470-nucleotide unclassified non-coding RNA is filed under the name Hevea brasiliensis (rubber tree). The record is from RNAcentral. Lineage: Eukaryota; Viridiplantae; Streptophyta; Magnoliopsida; Malpighiales; Euphorbiaceae.
UGACAAAACAAAAUGGAAGCAUAAUGAAUUUGCCAGUUACUAAAGUAGCCAUGGUGAUUCAGAUGAACGGAAAACUUCAAGAAUUCCGGCAACCCAUUACCGCCGGCGAUAUCCUUAUCCAAAAUCCUGAUUUCUUCCUUUGUAGCUCAGAAGCCAUGAAUGUCGAUUCAUUAGUUCCUCAAUUAGCCAAAGAUGAAAUCUUGCAGCUUGGUCAGCUUUAUUUUCUUUUGCCGGUUUCUAAAUUACAAACCCCACUUUCACUUCAAGAUAUGUGUUUACUUGCUGUUAAAGCAAGCACAGCUCUUAAUGACUAUUGUAAUUUGUCCAAUAUAGUAACAAGAAAAUUCAAAAAAAUGCACGAUUGUCAUAUUAAGAAUUUGAACCUGAGACCUCAAGUUUACGAGUCACCUUUACCUCUACAGUAGUAAAAGUUCUUCUUUCCGGAUUCAAAAUUUAUAUAUGCGUCUUGA